GGUCUUCAUGCAUUAAUCAAAGAGUACAAUGGUAGAGAUAUCCAGGAACAUAGUGCACAGAGCUACUGCAAACGAAGACAACAUCAUGUGAUACAUACCUCAUCAGAUAUAAAUCAGCAGUGGAGUCAUCAUCAAAUAGCCUAAAGCAGGCCACACUUCAUCAGCACAAAAUUUUCAACAUGAUGACCAAGAUGUUUCACCAUCUAGUAGC
Molecule: long non-coding RNA, 211 nt
Filed under: Trifolium pratense (red clover)
Lineage: Eukaryota; Viridiplantae; Streptophyta; Magnoliopsida; Fabales; Fabaceae
Description: long non-coding RNA (TPRA_LNC011979)
Source: RNAcentral